This 601-nucleotide ribosomal RNA is filed under the name uncultured bacterium. RNAcentral describes it as "bacterial SSU rRNA". It matches the Rfam family "Bacterial small subunit ribosomal RNA", at positions 732 to 1337 of the family's 1533-position model. The record is from RNAcentral.
GUCCUUAACUGACGCUAAAGCUCGAAAGUGCGGGUAUCGAACAGGAUUAGAUACCCUGGUAGUCCGCACGGUAAACGAUGGAUGCCCGCUGUUGGCGAUACAAUGUCAGCGGCCAAGCGAAAGCGUUAAGCAUCCCACCUGGGGAGUACGCCGGCAACGGUGAAACUCAAAGGAAUUGACGGGGGCCCGCACAAGCGGAGGAACAUGUGGUUUAAUUCGAUGAUACGCGAGGAACCUUACCCGGGCUUGAACUGCAGCAGAACGAUUGAGAGAUCAUGAGGUCCUUCGGGACUGCUGUGGAGGUGCUGCAUGGUUGUCGUCAGCUCGUGCCGUGAGGUGUCGGCUUAAGUGCCAUAACGAGCGCAACCCUUUUCCUUAGUUGCCAUCAGGUUAUGCUGGGCACUCUGGGGAUACUGCCACCGUAAGGUGUGAGGAAGGUGGGGAUGACGUCAAAUCAGCACGGCCCGUACGUCCGGGGCUACACACGUGUUACAAUGGGUGGUACAGAGAGUCGGUCGGCGGCAAUGCCGAUCCAAUCCUUAAAGCCAUCCUCAGUUCGGAUUGGGGUCUGCAACCCGACCCCAUGAAGCUGGAUUCGCUA